Molecule: ribosomal RNA, 449 nt
Filed under: uncultured bacterium
Lineage: Bacteria
Description: partial 16S ribosomal RNA
Rfam family: Bacterial small subunit ribosomal RNA
Source: RNAcentral
GACCAGACUCCUACGGGAGGCAGCAGUGGGGAAUAUUGCACAAUGGGGGGAACCCUGAUGCAGCGACGCCGCGUGGGUGAAGGAGCACCUCGGUGCGUAAAGCCCUGUCAGCAGGGAAGAAAAUGACGGUACCUGAAGAAGAAGCCCCGGCUAACUACGUGCCAGCAGCCGCGGUAAUACGUAGGGGGCAAGCGUUAUCCGGAUUUACUGGGUGUAAAGGGGGCGCAGACGGCGAUGCAAGCCAGGAGUGAAAGCCCGGGGCCCAACCCCGGGACUGCUCUUGGAACUGCGUGGCUGGAGUGCAGGAGGGGCAGGCGGAAUUCCUGGUGUAGCGGUGAAAUGCGUAGAUAUCUGGAGGAACAUCAGUGGCGAAGGAGACUAUCUGGCACAUAACUGACGCUGAGGAGCGAAAGCGUGGGGAGCAAACAGGAUUAGAUACCCCGGUAGAU